UUCUUCUUCAUCAUUAACCAAACAUUCCACCUGCUGGUGCAAGCUCUGGGGUCAUGACCUUGAGCAACGGUGUCUGUGCACUUAAUCGAUCUUGCAAUAUUUGAUCAUGUCAUGAUACAUGCUGUGAAGAGAUGAGACAGGGUGCAGCAGAGAAAGGCAUGGUAGUUUGGGGAGAAGAGUUAGAGUAGUUUCUGUAAACGGUUAACAAGAUUUCUCCUCUCUCCUCUGACAGGCUCCACCCCUACAGGAAGAGUUCCAGGCAAUGAGUCUUCCUCAGGGAUGAACCCCUUAAUUGGUAACAAAUGGUGCUAUACACGUGAGCAACACAAAAAACGGGCCCAACAGGUUGUGAGUAUGUGUAUGUGUGUAUAUAUACAUAUAAACAGAUACAUAUGUUAAUCUGUCCCUAUAUUAGACACAUACAUUGUAACAUGAACAGUGAAAGAAAAUGGGGUCAUGAGGUUGAGAGGGAUUAGGGGUGGGGAUGGCAUGGGAGAGAAGAGGGAGGGAGAGAUAGUUUAAAUACAAUACACAGAUAUGAAAUUUAAAAAUAAGUUGAGGGCUGGAGAGAUGGCUCAGUGGUUAAGAGCACUGACUGCUCAUCCAAAGGACCUGAGUUCAAUUCCCAGCAACCACAUGGUGGCUCACAACCAUCUACAAUGAGAUCUGAUGCCCUCUUCUGGUGUGUCUGAACACAGUAGUGUACUCACAUACAUGGAAUAAAUAAAUAAAUCUUUAAAAAAAAUAAGUUGAAUUUUUAAGAAACGAAAAGAACAACAUACACGGUAUGUGGUGAAGCUGGUACCUGGCUCGCCUAGUAUCUGUGAAACCCGGAGCCUUCACUCUCCAGCACUAUGGGGUAAACCAAACCCAACCGACCAAAAACUCGAAGCAUACAGAACAUAACUACUGACCAGGACGGUGUGGAUGGUGCUGUGAGAUAGAAUCCACAGACAUAACCAAGUUCAAACACAGGAGGACAAGGUCACAGACAUCUGCAAAGAGGAGGUUUGGUUUGUUAGGCCUUGCCUGAAUGGUGAGUCGGUUGUUCAUUUAGUUGUGAUGGGGAAAAGGAGGGGAACACGUAGGAGAGAAUCCCAAUGGUGAGCAAAUGAGAAGUCUCAUUUAGAUGCCAGGGACCUGGUAACUAAUACAGUACAGGCAGGAAGAGAUCCAAGCAGAUCCGAGAACAGGAUUCCAGAUUCUUUCUCCAUCAUCACUGCAAGGAUCUGGAUUUAGCUGGUCCAAGUUGCAGAUGCCUGUCAACCAGUCUCUGAUUCUGGCUUCCCUCCCUCUGGAAUGGAGUUGACAGUGCUUGCUACGGUGUAUUCAUGGAACUUGCUGGCCCUCCCCUUACUCUCCAACCUUUCAAGGGGUUGCUUUUCACUAAUUCACAGAGUAUUUGUUGGGGUCUACACCAAAGCAUGAGUCCCUGGUCUGUCUCCACCUGUGGUAAGUACUGAGAACCAAAGCAAAGCAAGGUAACGGGGCACAACAGGAGUGUGGCUUGGGACGGGGAAGGGGUGGGGGUUGGAGACAAGAUUGAGUGGAUGUCUUUCCUUCAAACAGGACAUCUGAGAAUCGACAUGAUGCGGGGAGAGCUUUUGAAAGCCAAGGGAAGAAUGAGGACAGGAAAGGGAGUUUGUGUUUAAAGACUGGAGAGGUGGCCAGUGAAACAGGAACCCAUCAGGCAAAAGGAGGAAAAUGAAAAACAUUGAGACCCCAGGAGCCAAGAAGGACAAUGGAAAAGCCAUUUGGAACCUGAAGAAAAGCAAGAACAGCCUAUAAAGGAGAUAGCCUAAAAGGAGGAUAUGAAGACUUCCAUUUGUACUACCAUAGCAGCUUCAGCUUUUAAAAGUGCCUCUCAAGUCUCUCCAUGACUCUCUUUCCCACGGCUGGUCAGGCCCUAUCCACAUCUCUCUUUGCGUCAUCCGUAUGGGUGAAGGGAAGGAAGGGGCGACCCCAGGAUACACACAGGCGCCACACAGGGGAAUCAUCAGGAGUCGUCUUGCCACUAAUCACUCUUGGGGCCCUUUGGGUUGGGUUGUCUUGGCCAGCCUGCAUGUGAUGGGUUUUGUUUAUCUUACUAUAUUGUAUUUUGUCAAUACAAAAAUAAGGUAGAACAGAAAAAGUCACUGUUAGUGAAUUUUGAGUUGAUUAGCGAUGUGCACUAAAAGUAUUUUGAAAAUUAUAAGGUGAUCACAAUGGGAAAUGAAACUAACAUUUUAAAAAAAGGGCUUGAUGGUUGAUUGCAUUAUGUUUUGGACUUAAAUGUUUAAGGUUUGGUCAGUCUCCUGUGGAGAUGUGCUAGGCAGAGACGGUAGCACCUUGGAGAGGUGGGAGGAGGUCAGAUCAUUGGGGCCAUGCCCUUGUAGGGUACAUUAGGGUCUCUGCCUCUAUUCCUGUGUGCUUCCUGUACACCACAGGGUGAGCGAUUCUGCUCUAUCAUGGUCCCCAUCGUGUUACCCCUCCCCCUUACUGAAG
Non-coding RNA from Rattus norvegicus (Norway rat), 2484 nucleotides. Lineage: Eukaryota; Metazoa; Chordata; Mammalia; Rodentia; Muridae. The record is from RefSeq and is a predicted model, not a curated record.